UAUUAAAAAUUUCAUUCAUUUCUACCAUUAAAAAGUGGCGUUGCUAAUAGAUUAACCAAACAGUUACAAGGGGCAUGCCACGUGUGCCUCAUUUUGACAUACGAUGACCAAUUUUAACAGUAGAAAUGGAUGGAAUUUUUAUCA
Molecule: non-coding RNA, 144 nt
Organism: Gossypium raimondii (Peruvian cotton)
Lineage: Eukaryota; Viridiplantae; Streptophyta; Magnoliopsida; Malvales; Malvaceae
Source: Rfam